Long non-coding RNA from Marmota flaviventris (yellow-bellied marmot), 450 nucleotides. RefSeq lists it as uncharacterized. Lineage: Eukaryota; Metazoa; Chordata; Mammalia; Rodentia; Sciuridae. The record is from RefSeq and is a predicted model, not a curated record.
GCUUCUGUGCCCACAGUGAAGGCUGGUGCUUAACUUUAUUAAAUGCCUCAGAUUCAAAGCCUGCUACUUGUCUUCAGAAAAUCAUUGUGCAAUCAUCUCCAGAUGCUAUCUGCCAACAAGGAAAAUGAGUGCUCUGUCCAUUAGUCUUCCUCACAACUUCAAGAACUUUGGCAUUAUCAACAGAGGUGCCAGCAGCACCUCCAGUCAUGACAAUAAGAAAUAUUUCCAGACCUCACCAAGUAUCCCCUAUGGGACAAAACUGUUCCCAGAUGUGACCUUGAAUCCAUUGCACUGUGGAGUUCUGCUUCCUUUCCUAAUUCUGAAAAUGAGCCACAUUCUUCAAGUGGGAUAUUCACUCAUAGCUUUCCAAGCACCAAUCUAGGCACUGCAUAUGAAUUUCCUCACUCCUCACUUGGUCACAUAAAUUCUGCGAUGGGAAAUCUGAUACUC